GGACGAACGCUGGCGGCGUGCUUAACACAUGCAAGUCGAACGGAAAGGCCCUGCUUGCAGGGUACUCGAGUGGCGAACGGGUGAGUAACACGUGGGUGAUCUGCCCUGCACUUCGGGAUAAGCCUGGGAAACUGGGUCUAAUACCGGAUAGGAGCCAUUUUUAGUGUGAUGGUUGGAAAGUUUUUUCGGUGUAGGAUGAGCUCGCGGCCUAUCAGCUUGUUGGUGGGGCAAUGGCCUACCAAGGCGGCGACGGGUAGCCGGCCUGAGAGGGUGGACGGCCACAUUGGGACUGAGAUACGGCCCAGACUCCUACGGGAGGCAGCAGUGGGGAAUAUUGCACAAUGGGCGCAAGCCUGAUGCAGCGACGCCGCGUGGGGGAUGACGGCCUUCGGGUUGUAAACUCCUUUCGCUAGGGACGAAGCUUUUUGUGACGGUACCUAGAUAAGAAGCACCGGCUAACUACGUG
This 466-nucleotide ribosomal RNA is filed under the name uncultured bacterium. RNAcentral's name for it is "partial 16S ribosomal RNA". It matches the Rfam family "Bacterial small subunit ribosomal RNA", at positions 27 to 507 of the family's 1533-position model. The record is from RNAcentral.